CCUAGAAUAGACCAAUCCGAGCGCGUCCAGGUCAGGGUCACUGGUGGCCCUUUCUAGUUAACCAGGUCGACCCCAUUUAAGCCUCGGUCUAGGUUAGCUUCACUUCAGCGGGAACCUACUCGCAGAGCAGGCCGGUUCUUUCCGGCUCGAGCAGGUCCGGACCCGCCCCUCUGGCGGCUACGCAGUCUCGGAGGCCCGCCCGUUUAGUUCAGGGCCAGACAGCCAGCGGCGGCGGGUACCGCUAAGGUUUGGCUCCAGCAGCUACUAUUGGUACCACCACUAGUUCAAGCACCAUGCAGUUUACCUCAGCAUCAAAUGUUUUGACCUCCACUGCUGGUGUUGGGCUCUCAUUUACAACUUCAACGACUGCCACCACCACAGUCACCACCACCACUAUUACCACAGUCACCAGUGGCUUUACUGUGAACCAACAACUGUCAUCAGGAGGGUUUGAAAACCGUGUACCUUAUAUUUCAACUGUUAGGGUCCUUUUGCUGAAUAAAAACUUUUAAUUGAGUCUCGCUCUGUUGCCAGGCUGCAGUGCAGUGGUGUGAUCUCGGCUCACUGCAACCUCUGCCUGCCGGGUUCAAGCAAUUCUUCUCUCUCAGCCUCCCGAGUAGCUGGGACUACAGGCAUGCAUCACCAUGCCCAGUAAAUUUUUGUAUUUUUUAGUAGAGAUGGGGUUUCACCAUGUUGGCCAAGAUGGUCUUGAUCUCCUGACCUCGUGAUCCACCUGCCUCAAAAGUGGACCACUUAUUCAUGCUGUCUUAAUGAAGAUGGAUGGUAUGGAAACUCUGCUCCCUGCUUAGUCCCACUGACUCAUCGCUCAUGAAAGGUGAACACAGCAUGCUACCACUUUAUUGCCAUGUAGUACCAACUUCUGUGAUGACAUAUGGUCAACUGGAGGGUCUUGUAAAUGAGUGGAACCUUGAACUGGAAGAUCAAGAGAAGUGCUUUCUUCUCCAGGCCACUCAGGUCAAUGCUUGGGACUGUACAUUGAUUGAAAAUGGUGAGAUGAUUAGUAUUUUACAUGGAGAAGUGAACAAAGGGAAACUGGAUCAGAAAAGCCCUUUUAUUAACUUAUUUUAUUCAGGUUGGAACAAGAAUUGGACUUUAUCCUGUCACAGCAGCAGGAACUAGAAUUUCUGUUGACUUAUUUAAAGGAGUCUAUGAGUGACCAGAGUGGACUUCAUUAUCUGCAGC
This is a non-coding RNA of Callithrix jacchus (white-tufted-ear marmoset), 1203 nucleotides long. NCBI's taxonomy places the organism in Eukaryota, Metazoa, Chordata, Mammalia, Primates, Cebidae. The record is from RefSeq and is a predicted model, not a curated record.